Molecule: ribosomal RNA, 505 nt
Filed under: uncultured bacterium
Lineage: Bacteria
Description: partial 16S ribosomal RNA
Rfam family: Bacterial small subunit ribosomal RNA
Source: RNAcentral
GACGAACGCUGGCGGCGUGCCUAAUACAUGCAAGUAGAACGCACAGUUUAUACCGUAGCUUGCUACACCAUAGACUGUGAGUUGCGAACGGGUGAGUAACGCGUAGGUAACCUGCCUGGUAGCGGGGGAUAACUAUUGGAAACGAUAGCUAAUACCGCAUAAUAUUAAUUAUUGCAUGAUAAUUAAUUGAAAGGUGCAAUUGCACCACUACCAGAUGGACCUGCGUUGUAUUAGCUAGUAGGUGAGGUAACGGCUCACCUAGGCGACGAUACAUAGCCGACCUGAGAGGGUGAUCGGCCACACUGGGACUGAGACACGGCCCAGACUCCUACGGGAGGCAGCAGUAGGGAAUCUUCGGCAAUGGACGAAAGUCUGACCGAGCAACGCCGCGUGAGUGAAGAAGGUUUUCGGAUCGUAAAGCUCUGUUGUAAGAGAAGAACGGGUGUGAGAGUGGAAGGUUCACACUGUGACGGUAGCUUACCAGAAAGGGACGGCUAACUACGUG